UUCUAGGGUCACACCACCCUGAACAUGCUCCAACAUGCCAGAUCGUGUCUGAUCCCAGAAGCUAAGCAAGGUUGAGCCUGGUUAGUACUUAUAUGGGAGAUCGCCUGGGAAUACCAGGUGCUGUAGGCU
This 129-nucleotide ribosomal RNA is filed under the name Aotus nancymaae (Ma's night monkey). Lineage: Eukaryota; Metazoa; Chordata; Mammalia; Primates; Aotidae. The record is from RNAcentral.